Molecule: transfer RNA, 91 nt
Filed under: Xylaria scruposa
Lineage: Eukaryota; Fungi; Ascomycota; Sordariomycetes; Xylariales; Xylariaceae
Description: tRNA-Phe
Rfam family: tRNA
About the family: Transfer RNA (tRNA) molecules are approximately 80 nucleotides in length. Their secondary structure includes four short double-helical elements and three loops (D, anti-codon, and T loops). Further hydrogen bonds mediate the characteristic L-shaped molecular structure. tRNAs have two regions of fundamental functional importance: the anti-codon, which is responsible for specific mRNA codon recognition, and the 3' end, to which the tRNAs corresponding amino acid is attached (by aminoacyl-tRNA synthetases). tRNAs cope with the degeneracy of the genetic code in two manners: having more than one tRNA (with a specific anti-codon) for a particular amino acid; and 'wobble' base-pairing, i.e. permitting non-standard base-pairing at the 3rd anti-codon position.
Source: RNAcentral
GCGGGGAUAGCUCAGUUGGGAGAGCGUCAGACUGAAGUACAACUUCAAUCAUGACAUCUGAAGGUCGUGCGUUCGAUCCGCACUCACCGCA